This is a non-coding RNA of Meleagris gallopavo (turkey), 319 nucleotides long. NCBI's taxonomy places the organism in Eukaryota, Metazoa, Chordata, Aves, Galliformes, Phasianidae. The record is from RefSeq and is a predicted model, not a curated record.
AAUUUCUUUUUGUUUCCAGCUGAGCUACCAGGAUCAUCUGCAAUCAGGCUCUCCUCUUUGCGUGAUCUUCCAGCUCAGCUGCAAGAAUUAUACCAGCAGGGCUUCGUCUUGGCUGCUGUCCACCCCUUCGUGCAGCCAACUGAUGAAAAAGAGAAAACUCCCCAGGAACAAAUCUUCAGGGCUGUGCUUAUCAAGAAAACAGAAAGGUCUCCAAAAGGUGGCAUCCAUAGCGAAGGAUAUAUUUUGGAGGUAGAGUGCUGCUCCUCUGUAAACCAACUUUCAGACAAGAAGGAGAUACCUGAUUUUAUUAAGAAAGUGA